AUUGAACGCUGGCGGCAGGCCUAACACAUGCAAGUCGAACGGUAACAGGAAGAAGCUUGCUUCUUUGCUGACGAGUGGCGGACGGGUGAGUAAUGUCUGGGAAACUGCCUGAUGGAGGGGGAUAACUACUGGAAACGGUAGCUAGUACCGCAUAAUGUCGCAAGACCAAAGAGGGGGACCUUCGGGCCUCUUGCCAUCGGAUGUGCCCAGAUGGGAUUAGCUAGUAGGUGGGGUAACGGCUCACCUAGGCGACGAUCCCUAGCUGGUCUGAGAGGAUGACCAGCCACACUGGAACUGAGACACGGUCCAGACUCCUACGGGAGGCAGCAGUGGGGAAUAUUGCACAAUGGGCGCAAGCCUGAUGCAGCUAGGCCGCGUGUAUGAAGAAGGCCUGCGGGUUGUAAAGUACUUUCAGCGGGGAGGAAGGGAGUAAAGUUAAUACCUUUGCUCAUUGACGUUACCCGCAGAAGAAGCACCGGCUAACUCC
Molecule: ribosomal RNA, 487 nt
Filed under: uncultured bacterium
Lineage: Bacteria
Description: partial 16S ribosomal RNA
Rfam family: Bacterial small subunit ribosomal RNA
Source: RNAcentral